CGCCCAAUAGCUAGCCCACCCCAUAAAAGCAACACCCCCUAUUAAUACCCCCAAACACACCAAAAACUGCCAAACAAAACAUUUUUCCUCCCAAGUACGGGCGACGAAAAAGGAGCCUAGGCGCCAUAGAGAAAGUACCGCAAGGGAAAGCUGAAAGAGAAAUGAAACAGCUCAGUUAAGCCUAAAAAAGCAGAGACAAAACCUCGUACCUUUUGCAUCAUGAUUUAGCCAGAACCCCCAAGCAAAAAGAAUUUUAGUUUGGCCCCCCGAAACUAGGUGAGCUACUCCAAGACAGCCUAAAAAUAGGGCACACCCGUCUCUGUGGCAAAAGAGUGGGAAGAUCUUUGAGUAGAGGUGACAGACCUACCGAACCUAGUAAUAGCUGGUUGCCGGGGAAAUGAAUAGGAGUUCAGCCUCAUAAAUUCUUCCCUCCCCCGUUUUCUAGACCAUCUAUGAGAUAAAAAGAAUUUUAGAGAGUUAGUCAAAAGGGGAACAGCCCUUUCGAAACAAGACACAACUUUUUUAGGAGGUUAAAGAUCAUUUUCAUCCAAGGCAAAAACGCUCUGGUGGGCCUGAAAGCAGCCAUCCACAUGGAAAGCGUUUAAGCUCAAGCACUACCCUCGCCAACAAUACUGAUAACAUAUCCUAAACCCCUGAACUUACCCGGCUGUCCCAUACCCCUAUGGGAGUAACUAUGCUGAAAUGAGUAAUAAGAGGGCCCUUGGCUCUCUCCCAGCACACGUGUACAUCGGAACGAACCCCCACCGAACCUUAACGGCCCCAAACAAAGAGGGUAAUGUCUCAGGCCUUAAAAUAACAGGAAAAACACCCACACCAACACCGUUAACCCUACACUGGUGUGCCUGCAAGGAAAGACUAAAAGAAAAAGAAGGAACUCGGCAAACACAAAUGAAGCCUCGCCUGUUUACCAAAAACAUCGCCUCUUGAAAAAACAACAUAAGAGGCACUGCCUGCCCAGUGACCACAUGUUUAACGGCCGCGGUACUUUGACCGUGCGAAGGUAGCGUAAUCACUUGUCUUUUAAAUGAAGACCUGUAUGAAUGGCACGACGAGGGCUUAACUGUCUCUUUUUUCCAGUCAAUGAAAUUGAUCUCCCCGUGCAGAAGCGGGGGUAGUAACAUAAGACGAGAAGACCCCGUGGAGCUUUAGACGCUAGAUCAACCCUAGUCCAACACCCCUGCCUAAAAGGUUGAACGCUAUAGGAGACCGGAUCUAAUGUCUUCGGUUGGGGCGACCCCGGGGAAAGAAAAACCCCCGUGUGGAAUAGGAGUACUACACUCCCAAAUCUAAGAGCCACCUCUCAAAGCAUCAGAAAUUCUGACCAACUACGUGAUCCGGCUUAACGCCGAUUAACGGACCAAGUUACCCCAGGGAUAACAGCGCAAUCCUCUUCUAGAGCCCGUAUCGACAAGAGGGUUUACGACCUCGAUGUUGGAUCAGGACAUCCUAAUGGUGCAGCCGCUAUUAAGGGUUCGUUUGUUCAACGAUUAAAGUCCUACGUGAUCUGAGUUCAGACCGGAGUAAUCCAGGUCAGUUUCUAUCUAUGAAAUGUUUUUUUCUAGUACGAAAGGACCGAAAAGAGGAGGCCAAUACCUUAAGCACGCCUCGCCCUUACUUAAUGAAAGCAAAUAAAAUAAGCAAAAGGACAUACCCCAAUGCUAAAGAUUAUAGCGU
Molecule: ribosomal RNA, 1695 nt
Filed under: Chrysiptera biocellata (twinspot damselfish)
Lineage: Eukaryota; Metazoa; Chordata; Actinopteri; Pomacentridae
Description: 16S ribosomal RNA
Rfam family: Bacterial large subunit ribosomal RNA
Source: RNAcentral